GUAGGUGGCAAGCGUUGUCCGGAAUUAUUGGGCGUAAAGCGCGCGCAGGCGGUCCUUUAAGUCUGAUGUGAAAGCCCACGGGCUCAACCGUGGAGGGUCAUUGGAAACUGGGGGACUUGAGUACAGAAGAGGAAAGCGGAAUUCCACGUGUAGCGGUGAAAUGCGUAGAGAUGUGGAGGAACACCAGUGGCGAAGGCGGCUUUCUGGUCUGUAACUGACGCUGAGGCGCGAAAGCGUGGGGAGCAAACAGGAUUAGAUACCCUGGUAGUCCACGCCGUAAACGAUGAGUGCUAAGUGUUAGGGGGUUUCCGCCCCUUAGUGCUGCAGCUAACGCAUUUAGCACUCCGCCUGGGGAGUACGGCCGCAAAGGCUG
This 373-nucleotide ribosomal RNA is filed under the name uncultured organism. RNAcentral describes it as "partial 16S ribosomal RNA". It matches the Rfam family "Bacterial small subunit ribosomal RNA", at positions 527 to 896 of the family's 1533-position model. The record is from RNAcentral.